RNAcentral lists this long non-coding RNA (2754 nucleotides) under Homo sapiens (human). Its description in RNAcentral is "HSALNT0405057". The record is from RNAcentral. Lineage: Eukaryota; Metazoa; Chordata; Mammalia; Primates; Hominidae.
UGUGCCAGCCCCUGCCAUCUCCCGCAUGAACUACAGGUACAGAAGGAAUGUUAGCUCCUCUGUGAAACACAAAAAGGGGCUACUGUCAAGUUUUCUCUAAUUAAAAAAAGGAACACGUGCUCACUGAAUAAGAUUUAGAAACCAAGAAAAGUAUGAAGAAAAAAUUGAAGAUCGCCUAUAGUCCCACAUCCCAGGGUCAUCUGUGUCAGUGCUUGGUGUAUUUUCUCCAGCCUCUCGAGGCUGCAUUCUGUUCAACCCGGUUCACCGUGUGGACAUUGCAGGUGUGAGGUGGCAGCACCCGGGAUGUACCUGAUGCCCUGACAGGCACUGGGUAGGUGACUCUUCUCUAUAACCCUGAUAACCCUCUGUGGCUGUGAGCGGGAAGACCCCUCUGUGGGCUGCUGAGCUGGCAAGGGCAGAAGAGGGUUCUGGAUCCAGGGCCUGGCUCCUCCUCUCCACCCCACACAGACCCUACCCGAUACCUUCAUCCCGCUAACCAGAUUAGGAAGGCCCAUGGAGCCGAGGCGAGCCUGCAGCCACCAUGGCCAGGCCUGGGAGCCCAGGGUCAGGCUGCUCCCAUGGCCCAGUCAUGCUCAGCCAGGUCCCCAUUCCGUGGGGGGGCAUGAGGGGUGCCCAGAGGGAGCAGCAUGGUGCCCGGGAGACACCUGGGUGCUGCAGAGAGUAAGAGGUGCAGCUCACACAUGGAAAGCCCCCAUGAUUUCUGGGUGUUUUUACAAGGAGACCAACAAACAGCAUUUGGCAUCUGGCCAAAGAGGAUUCUAUCCCUCUGUUGUCCCAGCAGCACCAGCUUCUACAAGGGCUCCAAGCGCCUGUGCAGAGGUGGCAACGAGGCCUAAUGAGUAGAACACACACCGCGGCUCCCUCCCCAGUACCAUCCCCUCCCUUCUUCCUCAUGAGGUGGAUCAGGGUGGCCACGUGGCCAGUCACAGGGCUCUCAGCCAGGGUCCCUGCUGGCUGAGGCAGCCACUGUUCUCCCCGGCCACUCUAAUGAGCCAGGGAGAGUGAACUGGGCAAGGCCCUGGGAACACAUGCCAGGGUGAGCUUCAUAAGGUCAAGGCAGCUGGCCUCUGCCCUUUGCACUCUGUCCUUGUCUUCCUUCCUGCUGGGAGGCACAGAAGCCAUCUGGAGGCUGUGAGGGUGGAGACAAAGGCCACAUAAGCCCAGGAUGGCCAGGAGCCGACGGGAGCCCGGGGCGGGGCUCUGUCUGCUGCUUCCCUCUAAUCUGCCCAUGGGGUGAGGACUCCUGGGGGACGAGGCACUACAGCCUGCUUUCUGUUUCCUGCAGACUGAUUAGUCUUAUGGAAGCAGACAAGGGAGCAAAAAAAUGGCGGUGGGGGGGACCCCAGAACUGCCACGGACAAGAAGCCAUCGAAGAAACACACUCCCAUCUAUUUGUUAAACAACCACAUCCUGGUGGCUGCCUCUGUGCCAGGGCCUCGUGGACUCUGGGCAUGGUGCUCUGAAUGAAGACAAACAUGACCACACAGUCUAUGGUGGGGACCACAGACAACAAGAAAUAAGCUACACACACUGAGAAACACUAAGAAACAGCAGUGCGAGUGAGCGUGUGGCCAGGUGGCCAGGGAGAGCCCUGGCAAGGAGGGGACAUCUGAGAUGAGCCCUGGAGGAGACGCAGGAGUGAGGCGCAAGGCAUGGCCAUCUGAGAAGAGGGAAUGCAUGACGCAGCCUAUGGUGGGAGCAGCCCAGGAGGGCAGCUUCAAAAGUGAAACUGAUGGGAUGUGCUGAGAAUCAUCCGUGGGAAGUGCAAGCAGGACCCCAGCAUGGCCACAGCACAGCAAGCGAGGGGAAGAGAGAGGAUGGAAGUCAGGUGGGAAGGGGGCUUGCAGGUCACAGAAACAAGCCCACCUUCGAGUCUGUAGGGGGGCUCUGAUUCCCCCCUGGCUUGCGCCAACCGCAUGUGGAGAAGGGGAAGAUGCCUGGGGUUGGGGAGCAGGAGGCCAGGCCAGGGGGCAGCAGCUGGGAUGCUGGGACUUGUCAGAUCCUGGAUAAACCUCAAAGGUGAAGGUGAUGGGAUGUGCUGAGAGUCAUCAGUGGGAUGUGCAUAAGAGGGAGUCAAAGAUGUCUGAGCAGAGAGAAGGACCUCGCUGGCAUCUACAGUGAAGGGAGGGACCUCGCUGGCAUCUAUAGUGAAGGGAAGGGUCACGCUGGCAUCUACAGUAAAGGGAGGGACCUAGCUGGCAUCUAGUGACGGGAGGGACCUCGCUCACAUCUACAGUAAAGGGAGGGGCCACACUGGCAUCUACAGUAAAGGGAGGGGCCCCACUGGCAUCAACAGUGAAGGGAAGAACCACCCUGGCAUCAACAGUGAUGGCGGAUGGGCGACCAGCGCAGCGGUGUCUGGAGCUGAGGUUGGACCCAUUAGUUGGGGCUGCUAAUCAGUUCACCAUGCAGGCCAUGGGCCAAGCCACUGAAGGGAUCCACCUGGACUAGGAGUGACUGGGCUGGCCACAGAGCUCUGCCCUACCCGCUCACCGCUGGACAUGAAACAGCAAGUGCCUAUCCUGGAGGGCUCCGCCUGGGGAGUGCCAGGCAAGGAGAAUGAGGCCUGGAGAGCUUAAGAGACUGGCCCACGGAGGAAGCAGGAGUCAUCUUUCCACAAAACUACACUUCCCCAAAAGCUGAACUCUUGGACAAGGAGCCCACUGCCAAACCUAAGAGUAACAAAUUUCAGCAAAUAAAAGGAAGUGCCAUUUCCAAUGGCAUCCUCGAAUA